CCACGGUGUCGACGUCGGCGCCGGCGAAGAUGCAUCGUCGUCGGAGGCGGCAGAGAAUGAGGGAGAGGGAGAGAUGAGAAGGGCGGGGAAGGACGAGAAGGACGAGAGAGGCAUCGUCGUCGGAGACGGUGGAGAAGAGUCGGAGAAGAAAAGAAAAGAAAAAAGCAAAAAAAAAAAAAAAGUCGUGGCGCGGCCUUGGCGGGGUUGGAGGCGAGGAAGGUGGGGGGUGCGUGGACAAGGGCAAGGGCGAGGGCGAGGGCGAGGGCUAGAGAAUGAGGGUGAGAGGCGAGACGGACCGUUUCCGCAUCCGUUCUGCCGGCGAGAAAAAAAAAGAACGAGAGAAACGAAGAGGAGAGAGAAAGAGGAAAGAGAAAAAGUAAAAAGGGUAUUUUGGUCAGUUUACUGAAAAAGUGGACCGAAUCUGCAAAGACGAAAAAGGUGGCCCGGUUUUGUAAAAACCCAAAAUAAAUGGAUUUUUUAUGCAAAUUGGCCUAAUUUCUGA
Molecule: long non-coding RNA, 502 nt
Filed under: Ananas comosus (pineapple)
Lineage: Eukaryota; Viridiplantae; Streptophyta; Magnoliopsida; Poales; Bromeliaceae
Description: long non-coding RNA (ACOM_LNC007638)
Source: RNAcentral